AAAUUGAAGAGUUUGAUCAUGGCUCAGAUUGAACGCUGGCGGCAGGCCUAACACAUGCAAGUCGAGCGGUAGCACAGAGAGCUUGCUCUCGGGUGACGAGCGGCGGACGGGUGAGUAAUGUCUGGGAAACUGCCUGAUGGAGGGGGAUAACUACUGGAAACGGUAGCUAAUACCGCAUAACGUCGCAAGACCAAAGUGGGGGACCUUCGGGCCUCAUGCCAUCAGAUGUGCCCAGAUGGGAUUAGCUAGUAGGUGGGGUAACGGCUCACCUAGGCGACGAUCCCUAGCUGGUCUGAGAGGAUGACCAGCCACACUGGAACUGAGACACGGUCCAGACUCCUACGGGAGGCAGCAGUGGGGAAUAUUGCACAAUGGGCGCAAGCCUGAUGCAGCCAUGCCGCGUGUGUGAAGAAGGCCUUCGGGUUGUAAAGCACUUUCAGCGGGGAGGAAGGCGUUAAGGUUAAUAACCUUGGCGAUUGACGUUACCCGCAGAAGAAGCACCGGCUAACUCCGUGCCAGCAGCCGCGGUAAUACGGAGGGUGCAAGCGUUAAUCGGAAUUACUGGGCGUAAAGCGCACGCAGGCGGUCUGUCAAGUCGGAUGUGAAAUCCCCGGGCUCAACCUGGGAACUGCAUUCGAAACUGGCAGGCUAGAGUCUUGUAGAGGGGGUAGAAUUCCAGGUGUAGCGGUGAAAUGCGUAGAGAUCUGGAGGAAUACCGGUGGCGAAGGCGGCCCCCUGGACAAAGACUGACGCUCAGGUGCGAAAGCGUGGGGAGCAAACAGGAUUAGAUACCCUGGUAGUCCACGCCGUAAACGAUGUCGAUUUGGAGGUUGUGCCCUUGAGGCGUGGCUUCCGGAGCUAACGCGUUAAAUCGACCGCCUGGGGAGUACGGCCGCAAGGUUAAAACUCAAAUGAAUUGACGGGGGCCCGCACAAGCGGUGGAGCAUGUGGUUUAAUUCGAUGCAACGCGAAGAACCUUACCUGGUCUUGACAUCCACAGAACUUAGCAGAGAUGCUUUGGUGCCUUCGGGAACUGUGAGACAGGUGCUGCAUGGCUGUCGUCAGCUCGUGUUGUGAAAUGUUGGGUUAAGUCCCGCAACGAGCGCAACCCUUAUCCUUUGUUGCCAGCGGUCCGGCCGGGAACUCAAAGGAGACUGCCAGUGAUAAACUGGAGGAAGGUGGGGAUGACGUCAAGUCAUCAUGGCCCUUACGACCAGGGCUACACACGUGCUACAAUGGCAUAUACAAAGAGAAGCGACCUCGCGAGAGCAAGCGGACCUCAUAAAGUAUGUCGUAGUCCGGAUUGGAGUCUGCAACUCGACUCCAUGAAGUCGGAAUCGCUAGUAAUCGUAGAUCAGAAUGCUACGGUGAAUACGUUCCCGGGCCUUGUACACACCGCCCGUCACACCAUGGGAGUGGGUUGCAAAAGAAGUAGGUAGCUUAACCUUCGGGAGGGCGCUUACCACUUUGUGAUUCAUGACUGGGGUGAAGUCGUAACAAGGUAACCGUAGGGGAACCUGCGGUUGGAUCACCUCCUUACCUUAAAGAA
This 1549-nucleotide ribosomal RNA is filed under the name Klebsiella pneumoniae. RNAcentral's name for it is "bacterial SSU rRNA". It matches the Rfam family "Bacterial small subunit ribosomal RNA". The record is from RNAcentral. Lineage: Bacteria; Pseudomonadati; Pseudomonadota; Gammaproteobacteria; Enterobacterales; Enterobacteriaceae.